AUAAGGUUAAGUUAAUAAGGGCGCACGGUGGAUGCCUUGGCACUAGAAGCCGAAGAAGGACGUGACUAACGACGAAAUGCUUUGGGGAGCUGUAAGUAAGCGCUGAUCCAGAGAUGUCCGAAUGGGGGAACCCGGCAUGUAAUGCAUGUCAUCCAUGACUGUUAAGGUCAUGAGAAGGAAGACGCAGUGAACUGAAACAUCUAAGUAGCUGCAGGAAGAGAAAGCAAAAGCGAUUGCCUUAGUAGCGGCGAGCGAAACGGCAGGAGGGCAAACCGAGGAGUUUACUCCUCGGGGUUGUAGGACUGCGACGUGGGACUAAAAUUAAUAGAAGAAUUACCUGGGAAGGUAAGCCAAAGAGAGUAAAAGCCUCGUAUUUAAAAUUGAAAUUAGCCCUAGCAGUAUCCUGAGUACGGCGAGACACGCGAAAUCUCGUCGGAAUCUGGGAGGACCAUCUCCCAACCCUAAAUACUCUCUAGUGACCGAUAGUGAACCAGUACCGUGAGGGAAAGGUGAAAAGCACCCCGGGAGGGGAGUGAAAUAGAACCUGAAACCGUGUGCCUACAACAAGUUCGAGCCCGUUAAUGGGUGAGAGCGUGCCUUUUGUAGAAUGAACCGGCGAGUUACGAUAUGAUGCGAGGUUAAGUUGAAGAGACGGAGCCGUAGGGAAACCGAGUCUUAAUAGGGCGACAUAGUAUCAUGUUGUAGACCCGAAACCAUGUGACCUACCCAUGAGCAGGUUGAAGGUGCGGUAAAACGCACUGGAGGACCGAACCAGGGCACGUUGAAAAGUGCUUGGAUGACUUGUGGGUAGCGGAGAAAUUCCAAACGAACUUGGAGAUAGCUGGUUCUCUCCGAAAUAGCUUUAGGGCUAGCGUCGAUGUUAAGUCUCUUGGAGGUAGAGCACUGUUUGGGUGAGGGGUCCAUCCCGGAUUACCAAUCUCAGAUAAACUCCGAAUGCCAAGACGAUAUAAUCGGCAGUCAGACUGCGAGUGCUAAGAUCCGUAGUCGAAAGGGAAACAGCCCAGACCACCAGCUAAGGUCCCAAAAUAAUUGUUAAGUGGAAAAGGAUGUGGGGUUGCACAGACAACUAGGAUGUUAGCUUAGAAGCAGCUAUUCAUUCAAAGAGUGCGUAAUAGCUCACUAGUCGAGUGACCCUGCGCCGAAAAUGUACCGGGGCUAAAACAAUUUACCGAAGCUGUGGAUUACCUUAAGAGGUAAUGGUAGGAGAGCGUUCUAUAUGUGAAGAAGGUAUACCGUGAGGAGUGCUGGAACGUAUAGAAGUGAGAAUGCCGGUAUGAGUAGCGAAAGACAGGUGAGAAUCCUGUCCACCGUAAGACUAAGGUUUCCAGGGGAAGGCUCGUCCGCCCUGGGUUAGUCGGGACCUAAGGAGAGACCGAAAGGUGUAUUCGAUGGCCAACAGGUUGAUAUUCCUGUACUAGUGUAUAUAGUGAUGGAGGGACGCAGAAGGCUAACUAAACCAGACGACUGGAAGAGUCUGGCCAAUCAGUGAGGCGUGAUAUGAGUCAAAUGCUUAUAUCUAUAACGUUGAGCUGUGAUGGGGAGCGAAUUAAGUAGCGAAGUUAGUGAUGUCACACUGCCAAGAAAAGCUUCUAGCGUUUAAGUAUACACUACCCGUACCGCAAACCGACACAGGUAGUCGAGGCGAGUAGCCUCAGGUGAUCGAGAGAACUCUCGUUAAGGAACUCGGCAAAAUGACCCCGUAACUUCGGGAGAAGGGGUGCUGUCAGCGAUGACAGCCGCAGUGAAUAGGCCCAAGCAACUGUUUAUCAAAAACACAGCUCUCUGCUAAAUCGUAAGAUGAUGUAUAGGGGGUGACGCCUGCCCGGUGCUGGAAGGUUAAGAGGAGUGCUUAGCGUAAGCGAAGGUAUGAAUUGAAGCCCCAGUAAACGGCGGCCGUAACUAUAACGGUCCUAAGGUAGCGAAAUUCCUUGUCGGGUAAGUUCCGACCCGCACGAAAGGCGUAAUGAUUUGGGCACUGUCUCAACGAGAGACUCGGUGAAAUUUUAGUACCUGUGAAGAUGCAGGUUACCCGCGACAGGACGGAAAGACCCCAUGGAGCUUUACUGCAGUUUGAUAUUGAGUAUCUGUACCACAUGUACAGGAUAGGUAGGAGCCAUUGAAGACGGGACGCCAGUUUCGUUAGAGGCGAUGUUGG
This 2176-nucleotide ribosomal RNA is filed under the name Streptococcus iniae. RNAcentral describes it as "bacterial LSU rRNA". It matches the Rfam family "Bacterial large subunit ribosomal RNA", at positions 1 to 2195 of the family's 2925-position model. Lineage: Bacteria; Bacillati; Bacillota; Bacilli; Lactobacillales; Streptococcaceae. The record is from RNAcentral.